This 253-nucleotide ribosomal RNA is filed under the name uncultured bacterium. RNAcentral's name for it is "partial 16S ribosomal RNA". It matches the Rfam family "Bacterial small subunit ribosomal RNA", at positions 524 to 776 of the family's 1533-position model. The record is from RNAcentral.
UACGGAGGGUGCAAGCGUUAAUCGGAAUUACUGGGCGUAAAGCGCGCGUAGGCGGCUUGGUAAGUCGAUUGUGAAAUCCCCGGGCUCAACCUGGGAAUUGCAGUCGAGACUGCUUGGCUAGAGUGUGGGAGAGGGUGGUGGAAUUCCCGGUGUAGCGGUGAAAUGCGUAGAUAUCUGGAGGAACACCGGUGGCGAAGGCGACAUCCUGGACCGGUAUUGACGCUGAGGCGCGAAAGCCAGGGGAGCAAACGGG